AACGUAGGAGACAAACGUUAUCCGGAGUUACUGGGCGUAAAGGGCGUGCAGGCGGUUGCUUAAGUCUGGCGUGAAAGCUCCCGGCUAAACCGGGAGAGGUCGUUGGAUACUGGGUGACUAGAGGACGGUAGAGGCGUGUGGAAUUCCGGGUGUAGUGGUGAAAUGCGUAGAGAUCCGGAGGAACACCAGUGGCGAAGGCGACACGCUGGGCCGUACCUGACGCUAAGACGCGACAGCAUGGGAGCGAACGGGAUUAGAAACCCCCGUAGUCC
RNAcentral lists this ribosomal RNA (272 nucleotides) under uncultured bacterium. Its description in RNAcentral is "partial 16S ribosomal RNA". It matches the Rfam family "Bacterial small subunit ribosomal RNA", at positions 524 to 796 of the family's 1533-position model. The record is from RNAcentral.